This 384-nucleotide ribosomal RNA is filed under the name marine copepod environmental sample. RNAcentral's name for it is "SSU rRNA". It matches the Rfam family "Eukaryotic small subunit ribosomal RNA", at positions 587 to 972 of the family's 1831-position model. The record is from RNAcentral. Lineage: Eukaryota; Metazoa; Arthropoda; Copepoda.
AGCUCCAAUAGCGUAUAUUAAAGUUGUUGUGGUUAAAAAGCUCGUAGUUGGAUCUCAACAGCCUUGAAGCGGUUAACUUUGUAGUUUUACUGCUUUGUAGGCUGUGCUUUUGCUGGAGGUUUAGGGGUGCUCUUGAUCGAGUGUCUCUGGAUGCCAGCAGGUUUACUUUGAAAAAAUUAGAGUGCUCAAAGCAGGCUAAAAAUGCCUGAAUAUUCGUGCAUGGAAUAAUAGAAUAAGAAGUCGAUCCUAAUUUGGUGGUUUUCGGGGCUCCGCAAUAAUGUAAAUAGGGACAGUCGGGGGCAUUUGUAUUCAAACGACAGAGGUGAAAUUCUUGGACCGUUUGAAGACAAACUACUGCGAAAGCAUUUGCCAAGAAUGUUUUCA